GGACAGGUGCCGGAGUGGUCAAUCGGAGUUGCCUGUAAAGCAACCGGGCUUACGCCCUACGAAGGUUCGAACCCUUCCCUGUCCA
RNAcentral lists this transfer RNA (85 nucleotides) under Candidatus Omnitrophota bacterium. RNAcentral's name for it is "Candidatus Omnitrophica bacterium (groundwater metagenome) tRNA-Tyr". It matches the Rfam family "tRNA". From Rfam's summary of the family: Transfer RNA (tRNA) molecules are approximately 80 nucleotides in length. The record is from RNAcentral. Lineage: Bacteria; Pseudomonadati; Candidatus Omnitrophota.